GAGCACUGAACCAAUGCAAUGCAACGCCACGUACGUGACUUGGCUCAAGUUGAGAACACUUUGUGAUGGAGGCAUGGAGCCAACCAGAUCACCACUAGUUUUGCUCGUGGCGCAAGCCGUACUCGCUGCGGCGAUGUUGCAACAACCAUCAGAAGGGAGGGUGCAGGCAGUGGCGCCAUCAGCGCCACAUCUCGCCGGAGGCAAAGAAGCUGAAGCAGCAGCCGCUACAUCCUUGCCGGCUUCACCAUUCACCGGGGACCCGCCACCAUCGGAAGAGAGGGCACAGGCGCUCAAGGCGCCAUCAGUGCCACACCUCGCCGAAGCCGAACCGGUAGCGGCUACCUCCUCGCCGGCUUCACCGUACACCGGCGUCUCGGUCUUCAUCCCGGCACCGCCGCCUCUACCUGGCGUGCCCGCGUUACCGCCGUUGCCCGGCUUCCCGGGCAUGGCAGGCGCGCCUUCGCCUUCGCCUUCGCAGCAGCUGGCCAGUUGCUUGGGACCGCUCGGGCGUGUGAUAACUUGCGCUCCGUACCUCACCGACUCCGUACCCGCGCCGCCGAGUACAUGCUGCGACGGCUUCAGGUCGCUCGUCGGCAGCAGCGCCCGGAUCUGCUUGUGCCAUGCCAUCAUCGGCAACCUGAGUACAUUGGCCAGGGGGGAGAUCGACCAGCUUCGCUUGCUCGUGCUGCCUCUGACGUGUAGCACGAUCGUGCCCCCGGACUUGCUUCUCAUGUGCAUCCUGUCUCCGGUGCCGCCGAUUAUGCCUCAGCACUACGGCGCCGAUGUCAGAGAAAGGCUCGGUGCUCUGGGCGGCUAGGCCAUUGGCGUGCUCAGAAGGAGUGUCUAUUUAGAAGUCGACUGAAAUUGAAUUAGGCUUCAGUCGAGUUCAUGUUGGCCUGUAUGUACGCUGGACUGGACCCGCUACCAAAACAGCAGAACAAAAACUGAGUCCUGAGAACAACUGAACUAAUGGGGCUAAAAAAAAAGACUAUGGACAUGCGCUAGUACCAUGCUGAAUAUUAUUGCCAGCAAAAAGAAGAGGCAAACGGACCAAAAAGACACCCAA
RNA transcript from Triticum aestivum (bread wheat), 1066 nucleotides. It is a transcript of the gene named predicted GPI-anchored protein 58, with no coding region annotated. NCBI's taxonomy places the organism in Eukaryota, Viridiplantae, Streptophyta, Magnoliopsida, Poales, Poaceae. The transcript has 3 exons. The record is from RefSeq and is a predicted model, not a curated record.